Molecule: non-coding RNA, 146 nt
Organism: Caenorhabditis elegans
Lineage: Eukaryota; Metazoa; Nematoda; Chromadorea; Rhabditida; Rhabditidae
Source: Ensembl
GAAAAGUGCGUCAAGGCACCGAAAAUGCGCCAUAGCUAAUAUUAUACUCAUUUGAAAACUCUCGACAAGCCAAAUUCAAAAAAAUAAGUAAUUAAUAAAUUCUGCCAAAAAUGAACAAAAUAUGCCUGCAUCGAGAAUUGCGCCAA